CAGGCUGUUCUUCCCUCCUUGGCGGCUCUGGCUGUGGUAGGGCCCUCGGCCGAUCUUCCCUGUCCUUAGACCGACGUCGGAUGAAUGUCGAGCCGACCUCAUCUGAUGAGCUCCUCGAUCUCAUCUCAGAGCUGAAUGCACUCCUCCGUAUCGUGGCCAUGGUCACGAUGAUAAAGGCAGAACUUGUUAGGAUUGCACUUUUUGAGGUGUGGGCGCAUCCUUUCUGGCCUUGGCAGCUGCUCCCUGACCUCCAUCAGCACUUGGGCUUUUGGAGCAUUGAGAGGGGCGUAGCUGUGGAACCUUCUUGGGGGAGAGCUCCAUCGAACUCUACAGUUUGGGCUUCUCUGUUUACGAGCCCGGGGAGGGGUCUAGAUACGCUUGUGUCCGAGGGGAGUUCGAGAACAUGGCC
RNAcentral lists this long non-coding RNA (409 nucleotides) under Elaeis guineensis (African oil palm). RNAcentral's name for it is "long non-coding RNA (EGUI_LNC073451)". Lineage: Eukaryota; Viridiplantae; Streptophyta; Magnoliopsida; Arecales; Arecaceae. The record is from RNAcentral.